Molecule: ribosomal RNA, 423 nt
Filed under: uncultured bacterium
Lineage: Bacteria
Description: bacterial SSU rRNA
Rfam family: Bacterial small subunit ribosomal RNA
Source: RNAcentral
UGAGGAAUAUUGGUCAAUGGGCGCAAGCCUGAACCAGCCAUCCCGCGUGAAGGAAGAAGGCGCUAUGCGUUGUAAACUUCUUUUCCAGGGGGAGAAUUUUUCCGUCGUGACGGGAAUUGACGGUACUCUGGGAAUAAGCAUCGGCUAACUCCGUGCCAGCAGCCGCGGUAAUACGAGGGAUCCGACGUUAAUCGGGAUUUAUUGGGUUUAAAGGGUGCGUAGGCGGAUUGAUAAGUCAGUGGUGAAAGGCUGCAGCUUAACUGUAGACUUGCCGUUGAUACUGUCAGUCUUGAGUAUGGUCAAGGCAGGCGGAAUGUGUAAUGUAGCGGUGAAAUGCUUAGAUAUUACACAGAACACCGAUUGCGAAGGCGGCUUGCUGGGCCAUCACUGACGCUCAUGCACGAAAGCGUGGGGAUCGAACAG